This 482-nucleotide ribosomal RNA is filed under the name uncultured Rhodocyclaceae bacterium. RNAcentral describes it as "bacterial SSU rRNA". It matches the Rfam family "Bacterial small subunit ribosomal RNA", at positions 900 to 1382 of the family's 1533-position model. Lineage: Bacteria; Pseudomonadati; Pseudomonadota; Betaproteobacteria; Rhodocyclales; Rhodocyclaceae. The record is from RNAcentral.
CUUAAAUGAAUUGACGGGACCCGCACAAGCGGUGGAUGAUGUGGAUUAAUUCGAUGCAACGCGAAAAACCUUACCUACCCUUGACAUGUCCGGAAUCCCGAAGAGAUUUGGGAGUGCUCGCAAGAGAGCCGGAACACAGGUGCUGCAUGGCUGUCGUCAGCUCGUGUCGUGAGAUGUUGGGUUAAGUCCCGCAACGAGCGCAACCCUUGUCAUUAGUUGCCAUCAUUUGGUUGGGCACUCUAAUGAGACUGCCGGUGACAAACCGGAGGAAGGUGGGGAUGACGUCAAGUCCUCAUGGCCCUUAUGGGUAGGGCUUCACACGUCAUACAAUGGUCGGUACAGAGGGUAGCCAACCCGCGAGGGGGAGCCAAUCCCACAAAGCCGGUCGUAGUCCGGAUCGCAGUCUGCAACUCGACUGCGUGAAGUCGGAAUCGCUAGUAAUCGUGGAUCAGAAUGUCACGGUGAAUACGUUCCCGGGUCUU